Molecule: microRNA, 21 nt
Filed under: Petromyzon marinus (sea lamprey)
Lineage: Eukaryota; Metazoa; Chordata; Hyperoartia; Petromyzontiformes; Petromyzontidae
Also listed under: 1 other name
Description: pma-miR-4545-5p
Source: miRBase by way of RNAcentral
CUUCACAACUGGCUGCUUUAC